AUACGGAGGAUGCGAGCGUUAUCCGGAUUUAUUGGGUUUAAAGGGAGCGUAGAUGGGAGCUUAAGCCAGUUGUGAAAAGCGCGGGCCCAACCCGCGUCGUGCAAUUGGAACUGUGUUCCUUGAGUGGGUUCGGGGCAGGUGGAAUUCGUGGUGUAGCGGUGAAAUGCUUAGAUAUCACGAAGAACUCCGACAGCGUAGGCAUCCUGCCAGGCCCUUACUGACAUUGAAGCUCGAAGGUGCGGGUAUCAAACAGGAUUAGAUACCCUGGUAGUCCGCACGGUAAACGAUGGAUGCCCGCUGUCGGCGACAGACAGUCGGCGGCCAAGCGAAAGCGUUAAGCAUCCCACCUGGGGAGUACGCCGGCAACGGUGAAACUCAAAUGAAUUGACGGGG
RNAcentral lists this ribosomal RNA (393 nucleotides) under uncultured bacterium. RNAcentral describes it as "partial 16S ribosomal RNA". It matches the Rfam family "Bacterial small subunit ribosomal RNA", at positions 523 to 918 of the family's 1533-position model. The record is from RNAcentral.